UCUCCCCACCAACCAGAUAUUCUUCUUCUGCUUCAAUUUUCUGAAGCACAUCACUUCGGACGAAUUCUCAUCAGGCAGGAAAACACGGAGGAAAAGUUCCCAGCCUCUGGAAUCUGCGGUAUCUCUGGAAGAUUUCUGUUUGCUGAGAUGAAGACCUGUGCCUCCUCUCCAGUCUUUGUUUUGGAACCAAGCUCAGUUUUCCGCCGAGGAUCGUCUCCUCCAGCCAGCUGUGACUGAGGCAAAGUCAUCCAGUUCCUCUUCCUCCAACCACUUCCUGAGACCCGAGCGCAGCCCCCUUGAGGUGCCACAGCGCAGAUUCAGUGCAUUAUUUUCUUCGGUCUUCUUCAGGAGUUAUGUGCCGUAUCAGCGCAUGCACAUUUGGAGCAAUCUUCGGGUUUUUGACAACUGUGCAUGCGCCGAAAUCACCGAAAGAAGACCUGAAGAUUACAAAGAGCCGGAAGAUGGUGCCCGUGAGCUCCGCUGCGCUGAAUCUGCAA
Xenopus laevis (African clawed frog) is the source of this 497-nucleotide long non-coding RNA. RefSeq lists it as uncharacterized. The record is from RefSeq and is a predicted model, not a curated record. The transcript has 4 exons. NCBI's taxonomy places the organism in Eukaryota, Metazoa, Chordata, Amphibia, Anura, Pipidae.